Molecule: ribosomal RNA, 752 nt
Filed under: uncultured bacterium
Lineage: Bacteria
Description: bacterial SSU rRNA
Rfam family: Bacterial small subunit ribosomal RNA
Source: RNAcentral
UGCAGUCGAACGAGAAAGUCACCUUCGGGUGACGAGUACAGUGGCGAACGGGUGAGCAACACGUGGGCAACCUGCCCCUGGGUUGGGGAUAACACUUCCAACGAAGUGCUAAUACCGAAUGACAAGGCGAGUUGAUGACUCGUUUUUAAAGGUGGCCUCUACUUGUAAGCUGCCGCCUAGGGAUGGGCCCGCGUCGUAUUAGCUUGUUGGUAGGGUAAUGGCCUACCAAGGCGACGAUGCGUAGCCGGCCUGAGAGGGUGAACGGCCACACCGGCACUGAGAUAAGGGCCAGUCUCCUACGGGAGCCAGCAGUCUAGAAAUUUGCACAAUCGCCGAAAGGCGGAUGCAGCGACACCACGUGGAGGAUGAAGCCCCUCGGGGUGAAAACUCCUGUCAGAAGGGAAGAAGGCGCGGGCGUUAAUACCGCUCGUUGCUUGACGGUACCUUCAGAGGAAGCUCCGGCUAACUACGUGCCAGCAGCCGCGGUAAUACGUAGGGAGCGAGCGUUGUUCGGAUUUACUGGGCGUAAAGGGCACGUAGGCGGGUAUGCAAGGCGGUUGUGAAAUCCUCUGGCUCAACCAGAGAACUGCAGCCGAAACUGCACACCUUGAGUCCAGCAGAGGGAAUCGGAAUCCCAGGUGUAGCGGUGGAAUGCGUAGAUAUCUGGGAGAACAUCAGUGGCGAAGGCGGAUUCCUGGGCUGGUACUGACGCUGAGGUGCGAAAGCUAAGGGAGCAAACAGGAUUAGAUACC